GUAGGUGGCAAGCGUUGUCCGGGAAUUAUUGGGGCGUAAAGCGCGCGCAGGCGGUUCUUUAAGUCUGAUGUGAAAGCCCACGGGCUCAACCGUGGAGGGUCAUUGGAAACUGGUGAACUUGAGUACAGAAGAGGAAAGCGGAAUUCCACGUGUAGCGGUGAAAUGCGUAGAGAUGUGGAGGAACACCAGUGGCGAAGGCGGCUUUCUGGUCUGUAACUGACGCUGAGGCGCGAAAGCGUGGGGAGCAAACAGGAUUAGAUACCCUGGUAGUCCACGCCGUAAACGAUGAGUGCUAAUGUUAGGGGGUUUCCGCCCCUUAGUGCUGCAGCUAACGCAUUAAGCACUCCGCCUGGGGAGUACGGCCGCAAAGGCUG
RNAcentral lists this ribosomal RNA (374 nucleotides) under uncultured organism. Its description in RNAcentral is "partial 16S ribosomal RNA". It matches the Rfam family "Bacterial small subunit ribosomal RNA", at positions 527 to 896 of the family's 1533-position model. The record is from RNAcentral.